UACGGAGGAUGCGAGCGUUAUCCGGAUUUACUGGGUGUAAAGGGAGCGCAGGCGGCGCGGCAAGUCCGAUGUGAAAACCCCCGGCUCAACUGGGGGACUGCAUUGGAAACUACCGGGCUGGAGUGCCGGAGAGGUAGGCGGAAUUCCUGGUGUAGCGGUGAAAUGCGUAGAUAUCAGGAGGAACACCAGUGGCGAAGGCGGCCUACUGGACGGUGACUGACGCUGAGGCUCGAAAGCGUGGGGAGCAAACAGG
This 253-nucleotide ribosomal RNA is filed under the name uncultured bacterium. RNAcentral describes it as "partial 16S ribosomal RNA". It matches the Rfam family "Bacterial small subunit ribosomal RNA", at positions 524 to 776 of the family's 1533-position model. The record is from RNAcentral.